ACUAAAACAUCCUGUUUAUUUUCCUCCAAUCUUCUUCAUCACCUUUUUCUUUACAUCUUCACCUCUGCUCUCCUCUGCAUUUCGGACGUCAUUUAGCAGGUUGAUUCAUUAGUUUUUUUUUCUCCUGCCCGUUACAUUUUCUCGCUGUAUUUUUUACCACCUCAGCUGCUGCUGAAAGUCGAGGAAACAUGCAUCAGCGGCUGCAGCUGUCGAUCUCACCAAUUUCUGUUAAGUAAACCUAAACCCUGGAUUUAUGCCACUGAAUACUGACUACGUGUCCGGAAGUCUUUCUGGAUGAUCAACACUAUCUACGUUCUGAGGACUUCAUUUCCUAUCUACUGUCUUCGUUUGGAUUCGCAUCAAGCUGGCAGUUUCCUGCUACCUUCGUCUCCUGGAGCAAGCUGUAAGCGUACUCUGUCCACCCUCCAACGUAAGCAUCUGCACACCGAACUCAUUCCUGUUUGCUCCGAGCUCACACUGAACAGCACCUAAAGAACCUUCUACAAACUCAACCUCCUGAAUCCCUCUACCCCUGGCGACCUGACCACACCUAUUUAAACAACAACGCCAGACUAACCAACAGCUAGAGCAGAUUGCCUCCAUGUUGCAACAAACCUUAGGUACUCAGUCCACCACACAUGUAGAUGGCGCUACUGCAUUACCGGUAUCCCAACAGCUACCUCAUUCUCGUGACAUCACUUCCCCUAAUCCUGAAAGGUUUUCUGGUUCAGUAACACAGAGGAACUAUGACGUGGGAGACAGAGAAUUCCUGGGAAUUAUACUGGUCCUUGAGGAGUGGCACCAGUGGCUUGAGGGGGCUGAGAAUCCCAUCCAAACCCAGACUUAAGAAUACAAAGCCAGAUUCCCUCUCCAGACAGUUUGCCACUGAUGAUUCCGUGAAGGAACCAGCUCCCAUCCUGCCGCCCAGUUGGACAGUUGGAGCACUCAGGUGGGAGAUAGAGGACACUGUUCUUAGGGCUCAACAACAGGAACCUGACCCUGGCAAUGGACCGCCAAACCGCAUCUAUGUUCCAUCUAAAGUACGCUCCUGACUAAUCGAUUGAUUGCACACAGCAAAAUUUUCUGCCCAUCCUGGUGUUGGCAGAACUAUCGCACUAGUUCAAAGAGAGUUUUGGUGGCCCUCGCUGCAUAAAGAUGUGAGAGUUUGUUCAGGCUUGUGCAAUCUGUGCCAGAAAUAAGUCCAGUAACCAGUCACCCACGGGUCUUCUCCAACAUCUAAGCAUCCCAAAUCGACCUUGGUUUCAUAUAGCAUUGGAUUUUGUUACUGGACUUCCCCUUUCCUCAGGUAUGGCAACAAUUCUCACUAUUGUGGAUCGUUUCUCUAAGGCAUGUCAUCUCAUUCCCCUUAGGAAGCUUCCGUCAGCCCUACAGACAGCCAAACUUCUCACAAAACAUGUGUUUUGUCUUCAUGGGAUCCCACAAGACAUACUAUCCGACCGAGGACCACAGUUCAUCUCGCAAGUUUGGAAACAGUUUUGUGCAGGGGUUUUUGCUUCAGUGCUCCCUGGUUUUCAACCGAUCCCCCCGUUCCUUUCCCCAUGAUGAUGUAAAGAUUUCUUAUGUUAUUGGAUUAUUGACCGGCAAGGCUUUGCAGUGGGCUGAGGCCCAGUUUCCUGAUUGUAGAGAAUUAGGUUGUACUUUUGAAGAUUUUGUCAAGGAGUUUAAAAUGACCUUUUCCUCUGUGUUAGACAAGUCUAGUGCUGGCCGAAAGCUGAGGGCCUUAAAACAACGUCACAGACCCAUUACUGAGUUUUCCAUUGAAUUUCGUACGUUAGCAGCUACCUCGGGUUGGAAUAAUGAAGCUUUGAAAACUAGAUGAUUCACUAAAGGAUGAGUUAGCCAUGAUUGAUGAGUUGGAGUUGGAGAAUCAUCUGUUACGUUCCUGAUUAUCAUUGUCACAAUAAAAUCCUUUACUUAUUCUGUU
This is a long non-coding RNA of Girardinichthys multiradiatus, 1945 nucleotides long. RefSeq lists it as uncharacterized. The record is from RefSeq and is a predicted model, not a curated record. NCBI's taxonomy places the organism in Eukaryota, Metazoa, Chordata, Actinopteri, Cyprinodontiformes, Goodeidae. The transcript has 5 exons.